GGGAGGGAUCUGGCUGAUACAUUUAUCCCCAGAGCAGAUAUAGUACAAGCAACAGCAAAGCAUGAUUCUCUGGUGCAGAUCUGCUGUACAUGCCUCAACCCAACCUAGUGAGACCAUAUCUAAAGAUGAGAAGGGAGUUCUGCUUUCAUGGCCCAUUCAGUCCUUGGCUCUC
RNAcentral lists this small RNA (172 nucleotides) under Chrysemys picta bellii (western painted turtle). RNAcentral describes it as "TUC338 (ENSCPBG00000004962.1)". Lineage: Eukaryota; Metazoa; Chordata; Testudines; Emydidae. The record is from RNAcentral.